UAGGCUGUGAGCCAAGGAGACUGGGGC
This 27-nucleotide non-coding RNA is filed under the name Mus musculus (house mouse). Lineage: Eukaryota; Metazoa; Chordata; Mammalia; Rodentia; Muridae. The record is from RNAcentral.